This 723-nucleotide ribosomal RNA is filed under the name Xanthoporia radiata. RNAcentral describes it as "eukaryotic LSU rRNA". The stretch from base 317 to 470 matches the Rfam family "5.8S ribosomal RNA". The record is from RNAcentral. Lineage: Eukaryota; Fungi; Basidiomycota; Agaricomycetes; Hymenochaetales; Hymenochaetaceae.
GAGGAAGUAAAAGUCGUAACAAGGUUUCCGUAGGUGAACCUGCGGAAGGAUCAUUAAUGAAUUUGAAAUCGGAGGUUUGUUGCUGGCGUGGAAACACGUAUGUGCACGRCCUUCGUGCUCAUCCACUCACCCUUGUGCACCUUAUCGAAGUUAGUAAUACUUUUCUAUCGGGCUGUAAUUGGGCUGCUGGUAUUAUUAGUCGCAGGGCGAAAAUGCUAGUGCUCUUGGUCUGAGGGGAAGGGACGAACACUUUGACUUUACAAACACAUACUUUGUCUUGUAGAAUGUAAUGCUCCUUGUGGGCGAAAUGAAAUACAACUUUCAACAACGGAUCUCUUGGCUCUCGCAUCGAUGAAGAACGCAGCGAAAUGCGAUAAGUAAUGUGAAUUGCAGAAUUCAGUGAAUCAUCGAAUCUUUGAACGCACCUUGCGCCCCUUGGUUUUCCGAGGGGCAUGCCUGUUUGAGUGUCAUGUUUAUCUCAAUCUCCUUGUCUUCUUAAUUGAAGUCUCGGSGCUUGGAUUUGGAGGUCUUGCUGGCAGUUAUGUCGGCUCCUCUUAAAUACAUUAGCUGGACUUUGGUUCGCGUUACUGGUGUAAUAGAUUUAUGUUCGCCAGACGCUUGCCUAAUGGGUCUGCUUCUAAUCGUCUUCGGACAAGGUCUUUGACCUKCUUGACACCUUUGACCUCAAAUCAGGUAGGACUACCCGCUGAACUUAAGCAUAUC